CCCUUAGAUGUUCUGGGCCGCACGCGCGCUACACUGACGAAUGCAACGAGCUUAUAACCUUGGCCGAAAGGUCUGGGUAAUCUCCAAAUUUCGUCGUGAUGGGGAUAGAUUAUUGCAAUUAUUAAUCUUCAACGAGGAAUGCCUAGUAAGCGCAAGUCAUCAGCUUGCGUUGAUUACGUCCCUGCCCUUUGUACACACCGCCCGUCGCUCCUACCGAUUGAAUGGUCCGGUGAAUCUUUAGGACUGUGGCUGAGGCCUUGCCUUGUGCGGGUCUGGCCGUGGGAAUUUAGUUAAACCUUACCAUUUAGAGGAAGGUGAAGUCGUANCA
This 328-nucleotide ribosomal RNA is filed under the name uncultured eukaryote. RNAcentral describes it as "partial 18S ribosomal RNA". It matches the Rfam family "Eukaryotic small subunit ribosomal RNA", at positions 1470 to 1796 of the family's 1831-position model. The record is from RNAcentral.